AGAAUCAACGCUGGCGGCGUGCCUAACACAUGCAAGUCGAACGCGAAAGGGGAGCAAUCCCUAAGUAGAGUGGCAAACGGGUGAGUAACACGUGGGUGACCUGCCUUCGAGUGGGGGAUAACGUCCCGAAAGGGACGCUAAUACCGCAUAGCAUCCUGUCCUUAGACGGACGGAGAUCAAAGCUAGGGAUCGCAAGACCUGGCGCUUAAAGAGGGGCCCGCGCCUGAUUAGCUAGUUGGUGAGGUAACGGCUCACCAAGGCAACGAUCAGUA
This 272-nucleotide ribosomal RNA is filed under the name uncultured bacterium. RNAcentral's name for it is "partial small subunit ribosomal RNA". It matches the Rfam family "Bacterial small subunit ribosomal RNA", at positions 26 to 285 of the family's 1533-position model. The record is from RNAcentral.